Molecule: long non-coding RNA, 429 nt
Filed under: Panax ginseng (ginseng)
Lineage: Eukaryota; Viridiplantae; Streptophyta; Magnoliopsida; Apiales; Araliaceae
Description: long non-coding RNA (PGIN_LNC018724)
Source: RNAcentral
CCGAGGCCUAGAGUUAGGGUGUGCCAUGCAUGGUGCGCUAGGAUGGUGAAGUUUGUGGGUAAAAAGGCGGUGGUGGACGGAAAAGAUUGUGGUUUUGUGGUGGUAGGUUUGUCUAGGGAGAGGAGGCGGAGGAGUUCUAGAGGCCGAGCGCGGCGAAUGGUGAAGGAUUUUACUAUGAACUGGCCACCGAACCGGAGGCCUUUUACGUCGGAGGUGGGCUUGAAGGAGAAAUCUGAUGACUUGGUUGUUUUUGUUGUGGUUUGGUCAUUUGGGUGUUGGUGUUUUUGCUUCUUGUUUUUGUUUUUUUGUUUUUCUCCCAUUGGGGUUUUGUGGUGGGAGGAAUAGUGGUGGUUGAUGGUGGUGGACUGGUGGUGGUGGGUAUAUUGUGUUUGGUGUGUGUUAUGAUAACAAACUAUGCUAGUGUUUUUG